This 943-nucleotide ribosomal RNA is filed under the name Contumyces vesuvianus. RNAcentral's name for it is "LSU rRNA". It matches the Rfam family "Eukaryotic large subunit ribosomal RNA", at positions 35 to 953 of the family's 3401-position model. The record is from RNAcentral. Lineage: Eukaryota; Fungi; Basidiomycota; Agaricomycetes; Hymenochaetales.
UAAGCAUAUCAAUAAGCGGAGGAAAAGAAACUAACAAGGAUUCCCCUAGUAACUGCGAGUGAAGCGGGAAAAGCUCAAAUUUAAAAUCUGGCGGUUAACUCCCGUCCGAGUUGUAAUCUGAAGAGGCAUUUUCGAUGUCAGCCCGUGCACAAGUCUCUUGGAACAGAGCGUCAGAGAGGGUGAGAAUCCCGUCCAUGGCACGGACAUAGCUGGUGUCAUAUGAUAUGCUUUUCAAAGAGUCGAGUUGUUUGGGAAUGCAGCUCAAAAUGGGUGGUAAAUUCCAUCUAAAGCUAAAUAUAGGCAAGAAACCGAUAGCGAACAAGUACCGUGAGGGAAAGAUGAAAAGCACUUUGAAAAGAGAGUUAAACAGUACGUGAAAUUGUUGAAAGGGAAACGCUUGAAGUCAGUCGCAUUGUCUGGGACUCAGCCGUGACUAUUGGUUGCGGUUUACUUCCUGGUUAAUGGGUCAAUAUCAAUUUUGGUUGACGGACAAAUUGAGCUUGAAUGUGGCACCCUUUACUGGGUGUGUUAUAGCUUGCUCUCUGAUACGCCAACUGGGAUUGAGGAUCGCAGCACGCCCUUGUGGCCGGGGUUCGCCCACGUAUCGUGCUUAGGAUAUUGACAUAAUGACUUUAAUCGACCCGUCUUGAAACACGGACCAAGGAGUCUAACAUGCCUGCGAGUAUUAGGGUGAUUAAACCCUUGUGCGCAAUGAAAGUGACAGUUGGGACCCUUUCACGAGGGGCACCGACGCCCGGCCUUGAUCUUCUGUGACGGCGCCGCGGUGGAGCAUGUAUGUUGGGACCCGAAAGAUGGUGAACUAUGCCUGAAUAGGGCGAAGCCAGAGGAAACUCUGGUGGAGGCUCGUAGCGAUUCUGACGUGCAAAUCGAUCGUCAAAUUUGGGUAUAGGGGCGAAAGACUAAUCGAACCAUCUAGUAGCUG